Molecule: transfer RNA, 67 nt
Filed under: Bradysia odoriphaga
Lineage: Eukaryota; Metazoa; Arthropoda; Insecta; Diptera; Sciaridae
Also listed under: 1 other name
Description: tRNA-Gly
Source: RNAcentral
AUUUAUAAAAUAUAACUAUGUAUAUAUGACUUCCAAUCAUAAAGACUAAAUAAUUUUAGUAUAAAUA